RNAcentral lists this ribosomal RNA (435 nucleotides) under uncultured bacterium. RNAcentral describes it as "partial 16S ribosomal RNA". It matches the Rfam family "Bacterial small subunit ribosomal RNA", at positions 29 to 507 of the family's 1533-position model. The record is from RNAcentral.
AACGAACGCUGGCGGCAGGCCUAACACAUGCAAGUCGAGCGGACAUCUUCGGAUGUUAUCGGCGGACGGGUGCGUAACGCGUGGGAACGUACCCUUUGCUCCGGAAUAGCCUCGGGAAACUGGGAGUAAUACCGGAUGUACCCUUUGGGGCAAAGAUUUAUCGGCAAAGGAUGGGCCCGCGUUGGAUUAGGUUGUUGGUGUGGUAAUGGCCUACCAAGGCGACAAGCCAUCGCUGGUUAGAGAGGAUGAUCAGCCACACUGGAAGUGAGACACGGUCCAGACUCCUACGGGAGGGAGCAGUGGGGAAUAUUACACAAUGGCGGAACCCCUGAUCUCGCCAUGACGCGUGAGCGAUGAAGGCAUUAGGGUUGUAAAGCUCUUUAACCGGGGAAGAUAAUGACGGUACCCGGAGAAGAAGCCCCGGCUAACUCCGUG